RNAcentral lists this ribosomal RNA (255 nucleotides) under uncultured bacterium. RNAcentral describes it as "partial 16S ribosomal RNA". It matches the Rfam family "Bacterial small subunit ribosomal RNA", at positions 524 to 776 of the family's 1533-position model. The record is from RNAcentral.
UACGGGGGGAGCAAGCGUUUGUUCGGAUUUACUGGGCGUAAAGGGCGCGUAGGCGGUCGUGACAAGUCACUUGUGAAAUCUCCGGGCUUAACUCGGAACGGUCAAGUGAUACUGUCGGACUAGAGUACAGAAGGGGCAACUGGAAUUCUCGGUGUAGCGGUGAAAUGCGUAGAUAUCGAGAGGAACACCUGCGGCGAAGGCGGGUUGCUGGGCUGAUACUGACGCUGAGGCGCGAAAGCCAGGGGAGCAAACGGG